AUUUACUAUCAUACCACACUGAAGACACCCAAUACCGUCCGAUCUUGGAAGCUAAACAGUGUAGGGCUUGGUUAGUACUUGGAUGGGAGACCACCUGGGAAUACCAAGUUUAGUAGAAC
Ribosomal RNA from Pseudophryne corroboree (corroboree frog), 119 nucleotides. The record is from RefSeq and is a predicted model, not a curated record. NCBI's taxonomy places the organism in Eukaryota, Metazoa, Chordata, Amphibia, Anura, Myobatrachidae.